AUAGAAUAGAAUAGAUGACUCAAAUAAAUAGGCAAAAGAGUCGUUAUAUUACACAAUAAUCUUCUUUCAUCAAUUCUCAAUUCUCACAUAUCUGUAUGUAAGUUUCUCCACCUUCUCAUUCAUUUAUUUUUUUCCAAACAUUUAUUUAUUCCUUCAAUAAGCUAUAUUUUUCUAUAUUUUUUUUAGUAAAUAUACGUUUUUUGAUAGAAUGGAUAAUUUUAAUUUAAUUUCAGCAUUUGUUUUUAGAAAAAGUUAUCUUUAUUGUGUAUUUUGCUAUCCGAGAACGAGGUUCAUGUGUUGGUUGAACGUCAUGAAUUGUCCGAUCAAUUGACGACCAUCUUGGAUGGUAACCGCAUACAAAAAUUAAUGUAUUGAAGCAUUUUUGAACUCUGACAUCGAUAUUUUCACUGAAUUUUGAAGCAAAAAAGAAAAUGGAGUUUAGAAUUUUGGAGAAAUAGAUAAACCACGGCGAAGAGGCAGCAUGGCGAAGGCUCAGCUACUGCGAGUGUAGAUUUGAAGGGGUUAGAUAUUAGUGUUUAGGGAUAGAUAUGUAUAUAUGUUGAAAAUAGUUGGGCCUUUAAUUAUUACUAGCAAAAUGUGAACUUUGGUCCUUAUACUAUUGAGUAUUGACAAAUCAUUUUCAUUUAUU
This 649-nucleotide long non-coding RNA is filed under the name Capsicum annuum. Its description in RNAcentral is "long non-coding RNA (CANN_LNC000135)". Lineage: Eukaryota; Viridiplantae; Streptophyta; Magnoliopsida; Solanales; Solanaceae. The record is from RNAcentral.